AUUGAACGCUGGCGGCAGGCCUAACACAUGCAAGUCGAGCGGGGUUUUCGGACCUAGCGGCGGACGGGUGAGUAAUGCGUAGGAAGCUACCCGAUAGAGGGGGAUACCAGUUGGAAACGACUGUUAAUACCGCAUAAUGUCUACGGACCAAAGUGUGGGACCUUCGGGCCACAUGCUAUCGGAUGCGCCUACGUGGGAUUAGCUAGUUGGUGAGGUAAUGGCUCACCAAGGCGACGAUCCGUAACUGGUCUGAGAGGAUGAUCAGUCACACUGGAACUGAGACACGGUCCAGACUCCUACGGGAGGCAGCAGUGGGAAUAGUUGGACAAUGGGCGAAAGCCUGAUCCAGCCAUGCCGCGUGUGUGAAGAAGGUCUUCGGAUUGUAAAGCACUUUAAG
RNAcentral lists this ribosomal RNA (397 nucleotides) under uncultured bacterium. RNAcentral describes it as "bacterial SSU rRNA". It matches the Rfam family "Bacterial small subunit ribosomal RNA", at positions 30 to 439 of the family's 1533-position model. The record is from RNAcentral.